Molecule: long non-coding RNA, 2315 nt
Organism: Parus major (Great Tit)
Lineage: Eukaryota; Metazoa; Chordata; Aves; Passeriformes; Paridae
Exons: 2
Source: RefSeq, a predicted model, not a curated record
UGUGGAAAUGAUACCAGACAACUUUAAACUGUGGAGUUUGGGUUUGCAGUGAGCAUUGCUGGGAUAAGCAAAGUUUCCAGAGGAAAGUGUCCCUGCCCCUGGGCAUGGCAUGGGAUGGUCUUUAAGGUCCCUUCCCACCCAAACCAUUCUGGGAUUCUGCUCUCUGAUUCUACAAAUCUGACUUAAACACCACAAAUUAAUUUGGCCUAAUUGUCAUGAGUCCUGUGCUGUUUUUCUAAAACUCAGUGCUGCGUGAAUUAUUUCAUUCUGGAGUCUGGAAAUGAUAAUUAAAGAGGUGUGAACUCUGUGCUGAGGGAAAGGCUGCAUGGAUAAAAAUGUGGUGUUGCCAUCUGCUGGUAACAGGGGCAAUGGGAGUAACAAAACAGGUCCAGAGUUACCUGGUUUAAGGUUAAAUAAUGUGAAGUGACAGUGCUUGGUGGGUUCUUGAUGUCACACUUAAAAUCAAUAUAAAUUAAACCCUGCCCAUGGCAGGGGUUGGAACUGGAUGAUUUUAAGGUCCCUUGCAAGCCAAACCAUUCUGAUUCUCUGAAUCUAAAUAUUUCUGAGGGUGGUGAGAGUGGAGCUGGGGGCUGAAAUGAAGAGACUUGCAGCACUUGGGUGUUGUCCAGCAGGGAAUCAAGUGAUCUCUCUACCUGAGACAGAGCCCAGGAGCACAGAGCACACAAUUUUAUUUAAAAGGAAAAAAUAAAGUAUCUGUGUAAAGAACAGGUCAAGGCAAGCAAACAGCCCAUGGAGUAGGAGUGCUCAGAAGUUUGGGUGGCUGUGGUGUCACACCCAGGCCCUGGCCUUGCUUGAGUUGAAGAAGCUGAGUUGUGUUUGAGGAGAUGCUGCUCUGUGUCUGGAAGCAUCCCAUCCUCACUUGAAGGGACUGUCCUCCUUUUGUGCAGGAUGCUCGGCCUGUGGGGGGAGUUCAGGUCAGGGAACAGCAAAGCAGUGAUGUGUGAGAGGCCAGGCCAUGCUCUGGAUGGUGUUUGAGAGGCCCUCUUGUGUUCUGGAUGGUGUUUGGGAGGUCAGGUCACACUCUGGAUGUUGUUUGGGAGGCCGGGUCAUGCUCUGGAUGGUGUUUGAGAGGCCCUCUUGUGUUCUGGAUGGUGUUUGGGAGGUCAGGUCACGCUCUGGAUGGUGUUUGAGAGGCCAGGUCACACUCUGGAUGGUGUUUUGGAGGCCAGGCCAUGCUCUGGAUGGUGUUUGAGAGGCCCUCUUGUGUUCUGGAUGGUGUUUGGGAGGUCAGGUCACACUCUGGAUGGUGUUUGGGAGGCCAGCUCAUGCUCUGGAUGGUUUUUGGGAGGCCCUCUCGUGCUCUGGAUGUUUGUUUGUGACUUGGGGGGUGAGGGAAGGAAGUUUCCCAUUACUGUUGCUUUUCCCCCUACAUCAUAACCGAUUUCAAAUGGUGCUAGACAAAAACUGAGACUCUGAACACCAAGAGAAAUCGGUCAGCCUGUGUAAGAGAUGUUUUCCUGGCUCAGAGAAGGAUCCUCUUGUAGAUGACAGCUAUGCAUUCUUUAGAGGUGACUACUCAGUGCUCUGGUCAAACCUUCAUCCACAGCAGGAUUGGCUUUUCCAUGUCUGGGAACACGCUGGACAUCAGGGAGGGCAAAAAAAGAGUUCAGCUUCAGUUUUAGUGGUUGGGAUGCAGGGCUGGAGAAGUGAAAUAUUGCUAGGAGGCACCAGCAGCAAGCUGGAAAGCGAUUCUACAAAAAGGAGUGGGUUCUGUGUGUGCUGGAAAAAGGUUCUGGAGAAAGGAGUGGGUUCUGUGUGUGCUGGAAAAAGAUUCUGGAGAAAGGAGUGGGUUCUGUGUGUGCUGUGAGGCAUCUUGAUGAUGCCCAUGGCAGGGGCUUGGUACAGGAUGAUCUUUAAGGUCCUUUCCAUCCCAGUCUGGAUUCUGGGAUUGCUGGAGGCACGUCUGUGUUUGACUGCUGAGCUGAAAUUGUUGGAGGGAAUUCCUGUUUGCAGAGCUAUGGAGUGAGAAUCCUGUGGUGAUGGAGUCCCCGAGCAGAGAGUGGAAAUCCUUUUGCUCUGAGGCAAGAAAUGAAGUGUUGGUCGUGGUUUUUGGGUGCCUGUCAAGGUACAAGAGGUAGCACGUUGGUUUUCAUGCAACUUGUGGAUCAGUUUAGUCUGGACAGGUUGAACUCAUAUCCACUGUUUAUUGGGCAGAAAUACCCGAGCAGGAGGCUGUGCUGCUGUGGCCCUGGCUUGGGAGGGUGCAUACAGUGCUUGGAGAAGUCUCUAGAAAUCAGAUGAUGUUACAAAGUGGAUGGCUGGCAAAACAAAACAAAAAACAAAACAAAAAAAGA